GUUUGGUUGGAGAUAUGGAAGGAGGAGUGCUUUUGUUUGUGGAAGACCUCAACUCUAACUGACAAAGCGACCAAUUGCCAACACUUCUGUUAUAUUUCUUCUUUUUCUUGAAUUGGGAAUGGAGAUUAAUUCCUCUGGUGAGGAAGCGGUGGUAAAGGUGAGGAAGCCAUACACAAUCACAAAGCAGAGGGAGCGUUGGACUGAGGCAGAGCACAACAGGUUCCUUGAAGCCUUGAAACUGUAUGGGAGAGCCUGGCAGCGCAUAGAAGAGCAUGUUGGGACAAAGACAGCUGUGCAGAUCAGAAGUCAUGCUCAAAAGUUCUUCACCAAGUUGGAAAAGGAAGCUAUCAACAAUGGCACUUCUCCAGGACAAGCUCAUGACAUCGACAUACCUCCACCACGACCAAAAAG
This 411-nucleotide unclassified non-coding RNA is filed under the name Hevea brasiliensis (rubber tree). Lineage: Eukaryota; Viridiplantae; Streptophyta; Magnoliopsida; Malpighiales; Euphorbiaceae. The record is from RNAcentral.